Long non-coding RNA from Schistocerca cancellata (South American locust), 288 nucleotides. RefSeq lists it as uncharacterized. The record is from RefSeq and is a predicted model, not a curated record. The transcript has 3 exons. Lineage: Eukaryota; Metazoa; Arthropoda; Insecta; Orthoptera; Acrididae.
CGAAGUACAUGUUUCGGAAAGUCUUUUCCUCCUUUGAGCUCUUUCUCUUUGUAAAUCAGUAGUGCUAAGAGUUCGCGACAUAGAAACUGUAACAGAAUACAUUUGCUGAACCGUGUCUAGUAAAACAACUUAACUACGUCAAUCGAUAGAAAAGUUAAUGUUGUUUCAUUUUAUUUUUCAGGGUUCACUGGGAGCUCAUAUUCUCAAAUGAAAUGCUUUUAUGGCAGCUGAUACUCUCUACUGAAAUAUGGCGAUCGGAAAUGGACUUGCUGGAAGCUGAUUUCGAGG